RNAcentral lists this unclassified non-coding RNA (1234 nucleotides) under Hevea brasiliensis (rubber tree). Lineage: Eukaryota; Viridiplantae; Streptophyta; Magnoliopsida; Malpighiales; Euphorbiaceae. The record is from RNAcentral.
GAAAACCAGCCCCACCCUCCUUGUUGCUUAUAAUUUCUAUUUAGAAGCAUUAGCUUAUCUCUUGCCAAAUACCUCGCAGCCUUGCUUGUUUUGCAAAUGUCUCCAAGCAAAGACGUAUCUCUGGAGGUUUUUCCUUACCUUCGAGUGUACAAGGAUGGAACCAUCGAGAGAUAUGCAGGAACAGAAGUUACACCUGCUGGCUUUGAUUCUCAAACUGGUGUUUUGUCCAAAGAUAUCUUUCUCACCACUCCACAAACCACUCUCUCAGCCAGGAUCUACCGUCCCCAGUUCAUUAAUAACAAUCAAAAGCUUCCCCUUCUAGUCUACUAUCACGGUGGGGCCUUUUGCAUAGCAUCACCGGCUGAACCGAAGUACCAAAAUUGCCUCAAUCAGCUAGUUUCCAAGGCUAAAAUCAUUGUUGUGUCGGUGGAUUACAGGUUAGCCCCAGAACACCCGCUCCCUGCUGCCUAUGAAGACUCAUGGGCUUCUCUUCAGUGGCUGGUUGCCCACGUAAAUGGGGGCAUCGAAGAAUGGCUAGAGGAUUAUGCAGACUUUGAGCGAGUGUUUUUGGCAGGAGAUAGUGCUGGAGCCGAUAUUGCACACCAAUUAGCCUUGCGAAUGAAGGACUUUCCAAAUAUGAAGAGGCUUCAAGGCAUAGCUAUGAUCCAUCCUUAUUUCUGGGGAAAAGAACCAAUUGGAGAAGAGGCAAAUGAAAGUUUGAAAAAAUCAAUGGUAGAUAAUUGGUGGAUGUUCGUUUGCCCAUCUAAUAAAGGGUGUGAUGAUCCAUAUAUAAACCCAUUUGUGAAAGGAGCUCCAAGUCUCAAAGGGUUGGCUAGUGAAAGUGUGCUAGUUUUCGUAGCAGAGAAAGACAUAUUAUGUGAAAGAGGAAAGCUUUAUUAUGAAAAACUUGUGAAAAGUGGGUGGAAAGGAAAAGCAGAGAUUGUGGAGACAAAAGGAGAAGAUCAUGUUUUUCACAUCUUUAACCCUGAUUGUGAAAAUGCUCAUCUCUUGAUCAAGCGCUGGGCUGCUUUCAUCAACGGUGCAUAAGUUCUUGUUAAUUAGAUCCAAAGUAAAUUGGGUUGGCUGCUGCUUUUGUGUCAAUUUAUAUCUCACCUUUACAGCUAGAUUUCCAAUGCUCUUGUAUCUAAAUUAUACUCUUUUACUUGUUUCGAUUGAGAUUGUGUUGAUGUGUGACACUCCACUUAAUGAACAAUGAACAAAUAAUAACAGUCAC